This 253-nucleotide ribosomal RNA is filed under the name uncultured bacterium. RNAcentral's name for it is "partial 16S ribosomal RNA". It matches the Rfam family "Bacterial small subunit ribosomal RNA", at positions 524 to 776 of the family's 1533-position model. The record is from RNAcentral.
UACGUAGGUGGCAAGCGUUGUCCGGAAUUAUUGGGCGUAAAGCGCGCGCAGGCGGUCCUUUCAGUCUGAUGUGAAAGCCCACGGCUCAACCGUGGAGGGUCAUUGGAAACUGGGGGACUUGAGUACAGAAGAGAAGAGUGGAAUUCCACGUGUAGCGGUGAAAUGCGUAGAGAUGUGGAGGAACACCAGUGGCGAAGGCGACUCUUUGGUCUGUAACUGACGCUGAGGCGCGAAAGCGUGGGGAGCAAACAGG